AGCAGUGUGGCCUAAUGGAAAGACCACAGGCCUGGGAGCCUGAGGACCUGGGUUCUAAUCCCAACUCUGCCA
This 72-nucleotide transfer RNA is filed under the name Ornithorhynchus anatinus (platypus). It matches the Rfam family "tRNA". Rfam says of the family: Transfer RNA (tRNA) molecules are approximately 80 nucleotides in length. Their secondary structure includes four short double-helical elements and three loops (D, anti-codon, and T loops). Lineage: Eukaryota; Metazoa; Chordata; Mammalia; Monotremata; Ornithorhynchidae. The record is from Rfam by way of RNAcentral.